CUGCUGCGUCUGUGUGGAUGAUGGGUGAAGAGGUGGAGAGAGGGGGGAUAAACAUGGAGAUACCAUUCCAGUCUUUCAAAAACUUCCCCCACAUAGCUAAGUCAGCCUUGGCGUGGGGGUCCAAAGAAACUGUGCCGGAGUCCGGGACUCCAUGGAGCAGGCAAAGAAGUCUGGAAAUAAAAGACCUUCCCUGCGGAAUGAUGCACAUGGCGAAGUUCAGAGAUCCAAGAAGGGACUGAAG
This is a non-coding RNA of Pelobates cultripes (western spadefoot toad), 241 nucleotides long. The record is from the annotation of a GenBank genome assembly. Lineage: Eukaryota; Metazoa; Chordata; Amphibia; Anura; Pelobatidae.